Molecule: ribosomal RNA, 274 nt
Filed under: uncultured bacterium
Lineage: Bacteria
Description: partial 16S ribosomal RNA
Rfam family: Bacterial small subunit ribosomal RNA
Source: RNAcentral
AUACGAAGGGGGCUAGCGUUGUUCGGAUUUACUGGGCGUAAAGCGCACGUAGGCGGAUUGAGUAGUUAGGGGUGAAAUCCCGAGGCUCAACCUCGGAACUGCCUCUAAAACUGUCAAUCUCGAGACCGGAAGAGGUGAGUGGAACUCCUAGUGUAGAGGUGGAAUUCGUAGAUAUUAGGAAGAACACCAGUGGCGAAGGCGGCUCACUGGUCCGGUACUGACGCUGAGGUGCGAAAGCGUGGGGAGCGAACAGGAUUAGAAACCCUAGUAGUCC